Molecule: ribosomal RNA, 549 nt
Filed under: Adolopus sp. 6 MS-2020
Lineage: Eukaryota; Metazoa; Arthropoda; Insecta; Coleoptera; Hydrophilidae
Description: partial large subunit ribosomal RNA
Rfam family: Bacterial large subunit ribosomal RNA
Source: RNAcentral
AACAUGGCUUUUUGAUUUUGAUUUAAAGUCCGGCCUGCCCAAUGAAAUAUUUAAUGGCUGCAGUAUUUUGACUGUACAAAGGUAGCAUAAUCAUUAGUUUUUUAAUUAAAAGCUUGUAUGAAUGGUUUAAUGAGAAAGAUUCUGUCUUUAUUUAAAUUUUUAUAGAAAUUUAUUUUUAAGUUAAAAAGCUUAAAUUUAUUUAAAAGACGAGAAGACCCUAUAGAGUUUUAUAAAUUUAUUAUUAAGUAAUUUUUAAGUAUAGAAUUUUAUUUUAUUAAAAAAUUUAUUUAGUUGGGGUGAUUUAGAAAUUUAAUAAACUUUUUAAUUUUUUUACAUAUAUAAAUGAUUACUUGAUCCAUUGUGUUUUGAUUAAAAGAUUAAAUUACCUUAGGGAUAACAGCGUAAUUUUUUUGGAGAGUUCUUAUCGAUAAAAAAGAUUGCGACCUCGAUGUUGGAUUAAAAUUUACUAUUGGCGCAGCAGUUAAUAGGUUAGGUCUGUUCGACCUUUAAAAUUUUACAUGAUCUGAGUUUAAACCGGUGUGAGCCAGG